CUCGAAAGCCUGUCCCAGUUCGGACUGAGUCUGCCACCCGACUCCACGAAGUUGGAUUCGCUAGUAAUCGCGCAUCAGCCAUGGCGCGGUGAAUACGUUCCCGGGCCUUGUACACACCGCCCGUCAAGCCAUGGGAGCCGGGGGCGCCUGAAGUCCGGGACCGCGAGGACCGGCCUAGGGCGAAACUGGUAACUGGGGCUAAGUCGUAACAAGGUAGC
Molecule: ribosomal RNA, 218 nt
Filed under: uncultured bacterium
Lineage: Bacteria
Description: partial 16S ribosomal RNA
Rfam family: Bacterial small subunit ribosomal RNA
Source: RNAcentral